ACCAUAGCCUUACCACCAUGGACACCCCCGAUCUCAUCUCAUUUCGGAAGCUAAGCAUGGUCGGGCCUGGUUAGUACUUGGAUGCGAGACCGCCUGGGAAUACCAGGUGCUGUAAGUG
This 118-nucleotide ribosomal RNA is filed under the name Gadus morhua (Atlantic cod). The record is from RNAcentral. Lineage: Eukaryota; Metazoa; Chordata; Actinopteri; Gadiformes; Gadidae.